Molecule: ribosomal RNA, 468 nt
Filed under: uncultured bacterium
Lineage: Bacteria
Description: partial 16S ribosomal RNA
Rfam family: Bacterial small subunit ribosomal RNA
Source: RNAcentral
GACGAACGCUGGCGGCGUGCUUAACACAUGCAAGUCGAACGGAAAGGCCCUGCUUUUGUGGGGUGCUCGAGUGGCGAACGGGUGAGUAUCACGUGAGUAACCUGCCCUUGACUUUGGGAUAACUUCAGGAAACUGGGGCUAAUACCGGAUAGGAGCUCUUGCUGCAUGGUGGGGGUUGGAAAGUUUCGGCGGUUGGGGAUGGACUCGCGGCUUAUCAGCUGGUUGGUGGGGUAGUGGCUUACCAAGGCUUUGACGGGUAGCCGGCCUGAGAGGGUGACCGGCCACAUUGGGACUGAGAUACGGCCCAGACUCCUACGGGAGGCAGCAGUGGGGAAUAUUGCACAAUGGGCGGAAGCCUGAUGCAGCAACGCCGCGUGCGGGAUGACGGCCUUCGGGUUGUAAACCGCUUUCGCCUGUGACGAAGCGUGAGUGACGGUAAUGGGUAAAGAAGCACCGGCUAACUACGUG